Long non-coding RNA from Lycium barbarum (goji berry), 1165 nucleotides. RefSeq lists it as uncharacterized. The transcript has 2 exons. NCBI's taxonomy places the organism in Eukaryota, Viridiplantae, Streptophyta, Magnoliopsida, Solanales, Solanaceae. The record is from RefSeq and is a predicted model, not a curated record.
GAUUUUUUUUUUAUUAAAAAAAGCUGAUGUGGAGUCUCCCACGCGCCUGAAAGUGUUUGUGCAUACUUGUUGUGCCAUGUGGCAACGCGGUGGUGAAUUAAAAUUCAGUUAGCCAAGAUUAGGGGUGUUUUUAAGUGUGACAAUAGUUCAGGGACUAAAAUUGCAAUUCGUGCUAAGUUUAGAGGUGUUUUAGUCAAUUCAAGCUAAUUUGUUUGCAUUUACAUCACGUGGAGUAAAUUAUGAUACAGACUUAGCCCGAUUCGUGGUAUCUAUAUAUAUAAAAAAAGACUGGAAAUAUAUAUGAGUCUAAGAAUGAAAUAGAGCAAAAGAAUUAUUCUAUUUGAGGUGAUAGAAGACUUACAAGUCUGCUCCGUGGAUGGUUUCAUCAUAAACAAUAUUAUAUGUUGAAUGGUCAUCACAGUUGGCCGGCGCAGAUGGACGAAUGAGUACUUUAACGGAACUCGAAGUCUUUGCUCUUGAUUUGGAGCUCUGACAUUCUCUGUCAACUUCAUCGUAGCUCUGUCAGAAGUCCUGCAGCCUCUUCUCGAGCUCUCAGAUUUCUCCCUGAAUAUAUGAAAGAUGCUUCAAUAUGGCACAUGCCUGGUGCAUACAUAACCAUCUAAAGCCUUAUAUACAACAACAUCUCACUUGAACUCAGCAUACUUUCACUGACAAGAUUGGUGAGAUUGAGAGGGCCACAAAGGAGGAGUUUGCGAGGUUGAAAAGGAGAUGCUCUUGUUUGCAGUAAACUUCAACAUCUGCCAUUGCUGCUAGGGCAUGCCACGUGUUGCAUAAUAUAUAGGAGAUGAGCAAUGAGGAAAUGCAUUCAGAGUCUUUUGAGCGCAUUGAUGAUGAGAUAGUUCCCCAGAUUCAAUUGAGAUACACCAACGCUAAACUCGCAAGAGAUGUCAUUGCUUAUAAUCUUCUGACAGGAGUAAGCUCUGAUGUGUUCUUAAUUCAUGUAUCUAUUUGAAGUUAUUCCAUGUUGCGUGUGUUUUCCUCACAGUUUCUACUCAUGGCAAUCUUAGUCAUAUGCAUAGUCUAAUCAUUCCCUUUGUCCAAAGUCCAAACUGACGAAAAUUGCUUUUACCACCAUAGCAUACACCAUAAUUACAGACAGACAUUGUAAAUCACAACCAACAACUGCUCAAUUUUUGCAGUACAA